CCUCAGCGGGUUAUUCAGGUUGAGGCCUCGGCCGGAGCACAGGCCCAGGUGUUAUGGUACAUGUUCUCCUGUAGGUGGCGGUAGUAACCCGGACAGAAAGAAUCCCAGCAUCUUGAUGUUUUAAAUGGCUUCAACGAGACUUUUGGAGACGUCCACAUGUUGGGGUAAGCUACAUGGCUAAAUUACCGACAGACAUAUAGAGACGAGGUUGGAAGGGUUUUUGUUUUGUAUCAGCGAGCUGAUUCUUAACGAAGUAUUUGACCUGAUGAAGCAGUUUUAGGAGGUUUCUUAGUUCCGCCUCCCUUUUUUUGUUUCUACGCAACAAUUACUCUAACUAGAUGCCCCCACCUCGCCUCCUUCGACAUUUCAAACGAUCUAGUUCAUAAGCUCCAUUUUGUGUGGCAACACAGAGCUGAGCUCCUCCGGUCUGCUGUCCGCCGCAGGAGGGCUUCUGGGCUUAGAACUCCGAAAGUUCGCAGUAAAUCCCUGGUGAAAUGUGAAUUUUUAUGAUGGCUGAAAACUCAGAACACAUCCUGUUUCCAUGAUGUCAGCGCAGGAAGUAAGAGCCACCUGCUAGCUGGAAACGGGGAAGUGAACUGGAAUGACGUCUCUGCUCUGUGACGUCGGAUCGUUAGUCCAGCAGCAGCCAUACUUACUUAAGACGUUCAUCAUUCAAAGGUUGAGCCUGGCUCGCCAUCUUCCUCUGCGUCUCCCUGAUGGAAAGCCUCUGGUGGAGGCAAACCUGGUGGUUUAGGAUUUUUAAAGGCUGCUGCCAACAUUUUUUGUAAAUUGUAAAUUAAUUUUAGUAGUCAUACCUCUGCUACGGCUAAACCAACCAAAACACCAGUCAUCCAGCGGGGUGACACAGCUGUGCUCUCGUCGGUUGCUGGUGAUUGGCUCUUUAAGAAGUGUGGAACAUGUCGGGAACAGGAGUGGGACAAACUGUGUUCAAAACCUAAACAAUAUUUAAUAUUGUCAUGCAACACUUCAAAGGCACAGGCUGACCAGAGGGAUGAGAACAACCUAAUCUGGAAUGUGGUGAUCUCACAUUCCAAGAGUGAAUCACAGAGAACAGAGGGUACAUCAGCAUUAACAGGCUGUUUGUCUCCCACCCACUUCACCCCAUCACUCCCCAACCUUUGACCUCUGCGUCUCCGCCCCUCCCCCCAAGCACACAGAAAACGCUGCUCACGUGCUCUUCUAAAGAGGGGAAGAAAAAUGGGGAAAACAUCAGCUAAUUAUCAUUGAAUAUGUUAUAUGUAGCAAUGAAGUAACUUUAUUCUUAACAAAUAAAAGCAACAUUUUAUCUUUG
Xiphophorus couchianus (Monterrey platyfish) is the source of this 1312-nucleotide long non-coding RNA. RefSeq lists it as uncharacterized. The record is from RefSeq and is a predicted model, not a curated record. NCBI's taxonomy places the organism in Eukaryota, Metazoa, Chordata, Actinopteri, Cyprinodontiformes, Poeciliidae. The transcript has 5 exons.